GUGCAUGUGAUGAAGCAAAUCAGUAUGAUGAUGUCAUGAUACUGUAAACGCUUUCUGAUGUG
This 62-nucleotide small nucleolar RNA is filed under the name Erinaceus europaeus (western European hedgehog). RNAcentral's name for it is "Small nucleolar RNA Z39 (ENSEEUG00000017334.1)". It matches the Rfam family "Small nucleolar RNA Z39". Rfam says of the family: Z39 is a member of the C/D class of snoRNA which contain the C (UGAUGA) and D (CUGA) box motifs. The record is from RNAcentral. Lineage: Eukaryota; Metazoa; Chordata; Mammalia; Eulipotyphla; Erinaceidae.